Molecule: non-coding RNA, 1178 nt
Organism: Camellia sinensis
Lineage: Eukaryota; Viridiplantae; Streptophyta; Magnoliopsida; Ericales; Theaceae
Source: RefSeq, a predicted model, not a curated record
GUUAAAAGCUCGCUUGUUUUUGGCUUCCCAAGAGACCCCUAUCUCUCACACUUCUCUCUUCAAACCCUAACCCUACAUCCUUUGAUCGGCGGCGACUAAUACGAGCAGCAGUGAAAGGCGAGCAGCAGCGGCGGUGAUCGACUGAGGUAUUCACCCAAAAAAAUAAGAGCGACUGAGGCACACGGUUGAUUUGAUUCAUUUAGCGUCGCAUUUUCAAAGAGUGGAGCAGCAGAGGUAUUCUAUGCAAGUCAAACAGGAAAAUGGUCUAGAGAGCAAAAUGAAUGGGAAGUUGCAGAAUAUAUUAAAAGCAACUUGGGAUUUCUACUCUCUCUCUGUAUUCUAGAAGGCAACACCAAACCAGUUUUGCUAUGGACAGCCAAGUGGAGCGCCCAAGACUUCUUCUACUCAACAACCACACUCCUCUAAAUCUGGAGGCCUAAAAAACCUUAUCUUUGUUGAUGAUAAAGGUCAUUGAGUUGUUUGAUGUAAAACUCUCAAUGCUUGGAUCUCACCAACUCGAAAAUGCUGCAAUUGCGGUGCGGACCUUAUGUUUCUAUUUUCCAUUUUCCCUAGAACAUUAGAACAAAAUUGCUAUAUAUACUACCAUAAAAUUUUGCUGUAUCCAAGUUGCUCUGUUUUUUGACUCUCUUUUUUGUCAAGUAAAAUAAUUGUAUGAACGAGCAUCAAGGGGAUGUGGCCCAUAUAAACAUUUUUGUCUUCCAUGCUAUGUUUGGAUCUUGGAUUUGCUGAGGAAUUUAUAGAACAAAAAGAAAAAGAAAUAUAAGAUUAUUUUUUUUUUCACUUUUCCCGGCCUUUUCUUUUCCCUUCACAAAUCCCUCCUCAAAUCAAGGAUCCAAAAACACAAUCUCAAUCUUUUAUAAAGGAAAUUUGUAAGGGUUGGUUAGAGGCUAGUAUCAAAGAUCCAAACACAGCCUCAAUCUUUUAUAAAUGAAAUUUUAAGGGUUAUAGCUUAUAUGAUUUAUGUUUUCCGGCAAAUACCAAGGAAUAGCUUUGGCUGAUACAAUUCAGAUGACAUUUUCGAAGGCAAAAUUGGUUCUUGUGGUUGCAAUGGCAAUUGACAAAGACCAUUUGGGUUUUGCCAGAGAACUACUUUCAAGUCAGAAAUUGCUUGGAGAGAUACAAAAUAUGGUCAAAGAAUUCAAGAACUUUGUGUUUCA